UGGGGAAUUUUGGACAAUGGGGGAAACCCUGAUCCAGCCAUCCCGCGUGUGCGAUGAAGGCCUUCGGGUUGUAAAGCACUUUUGGCAGGAAAGAAACGUCAUGGGUUAAUACCCCGUGAAACUGACGGUACCUGCAGAAUAAGCAUCGGCUAACUACGUGCCAGCAGCCGCGGUAAUACGUAGGGUGCAAGCGUUAAUCGGAAUUACUGGGCGUAAAGCGUGCGCAGGCGGUUCGGAAAGAAAGAUGUGAAAUCCCAGAGCUCAACUUUGGAACUGCAUUUUAAACUACCGGGCUAGAGUGUGUCAGAGGGAGGUGGAAUUCCGCGUGUAUCAGUGAAAUGCGUAGAUAUGCGGAGGAACACCGAUGGCGAAGGCAGCCUCCUGGGAUAACACUGACGCUCAUGCACGAAAGCGUGGGGAGCAAACAGG
RNAcentral lists this ribosomal RNA (429 nucleotides) under Acidobacteriota bacterium. RNAcentral describes it as "Acidobacteria bacterium partial 16S ribosomal RNA". It matches the Rfam family "Bacterial small subunit ribosomal RNA", at positions 355 to 776 of the family's 1533-position model. The record is from RNAcentral. Lineage: Bacteria; Pseudomonadati; Acidobacteriota.